Molecule: non-coding RNA, 148 nt
Filed under: Streptococcus criceti
Lineage: Bacteria; Bacillati; Bacillota; Bacilli; Lactobacillales; Streptococcaceae
Description: TPP sequence
Rfam family: TPP riboswitch aptamer (THI element)
About the family: Vitamin B(1) in its active form thiamin pyrophosphate (TPP) is an essential coenzyme that is synthesised by coupling of pyrimidine and thiazole moieties in bacteria. The previously detected thiamin-regulatory element, thi box was extended, resulting in a new, highly conserved RNA secondary structure, the THI element, which is widely distributed in eubacteria and also occurs in some archaea.
Source: Rfam by way of RNAcentral
AGGCGUCACAAGAGGAGCUUUUGCUGAGAAUGACCUCCAGUUUUAAGUAAAUUCCAUAACAUUGGAGUUUUGCGCAAAGUCUGGGUGUCUAAACUCUUUGAACCUGAACAAGGUAAUGCUUGCGUAAGGGAUGUGCAGAAAUAAGUGG